GGAUCAGUGGCAGACCCAAUAAGGAAAAAGGUGGGUCAGUUGACCCAGGUUAAAUCUACAAAUAACAUUUAAUGCAGACGAUUCUUUAAAGAGAUACUAGCACAGUUGGCAAAUUCCACAUUAUUGACACCCCCUUUGAACGAGUUCAAACCUUCCCUCUUACACUUUUGUGUAAUUUUUCUUCUUUUACAUGUUAAAAAAAUAUCUAUGACCCAGGUAAAAAUAAAUCCUGGGUCCGCCAUUGAUGGGGAUGGAUGUGGAUGGUUGCAGGAGAGUUGCUAGGGCUGCCGGAGAUACCCGCAUUUAUGGACACGGUGGACGGAGGAGUGGAUAUUCUCCAGGGAGUGAACUAUGCCUCAGCUGCCGGAGGAAUCUUAGAGGAAACCGGUCGACAUCUGGGAGAGAGAUUUAGCAUGGGAAGACAAGUGGAGAACUUCGAAAAGACAUUAAUGGAGAUCAGUAGGAGCUGUUAGUAUAUUUGUGAUGUUGAGUUGUGUAGCUUUGGCAGUUGGAACAUGGACACUCGGUCAGAAUCACAACAGAGGCAAUGAGAGUUUAGGGAGAGAUUCUGAGAUAGUAUUGAAGAUUGAAGAUCAUCAAAGCUACAAGGUACAAGGUGAGCUUGAGUUCUAAAACCCAGUAACAAAGGGGGAGAUUGAAGGUAUGUUUGUAACUGGUUGUUAGACUCAAGAUGAUGGCACAGCUCAAGAGGUGAUAUGAUAACAGGACGUCUGUGUGACACAAGAGUUUUAUGCAGACAACAACAGAGGUAUUGAAACAUCUGUGUGACGCAAGAGUAUCAACAGAAAGUAUCAGAGUUGUGUUCCACAGGCAGCAGCUGUGUAACACAACAGGAGAACUGAACGCAGGAAGAAUCAAGUUGGAAAUGAAUAUGACGUGGCGUGAUUCUAUUGGAGACGUGAUGUUUCCUUUAGUGGUGGCUCGGAUACUUUCGAAUCAAGGAAAAAAGAUUGCGAGAAUAUUUGGAGUUUAGGGUUUUGUCUUGAGUAUAUAUAGAUGGCUGCCGUGACAAAGAAAGGUUGCGCGUCUAUGGUAUAUUUGAGAAAGAGGCACACAUGCGUGUGUGGCGUCGCCCCACCAAGUCAGAUGAAGAUCUGUUGGUGGUAUUCCUUUGGAAUCUGCAGCCGUUAGAGAAGACGGUGAUGCACCGGUGCUGCCGGGUGGUAGUCAAGACAUGCGUGGCUUGGUACUGUUUCCAAAGUUCAUCUAGAAAAGAAUGGUAGGCAUAGUUAUGCUGUAUUAUAUAUCAUACGCAAUUGUAUUUGCAAUCUUGUUCUAGUGGAAUGAUUUCUGGACUAGGUCCCGGGGAUGUAGGUUGUUAACCGAACCCCGUUAACAAAUCUCUGCGUCGUCUUUACUUUAUGCUCUUUACAUUCGCUGCACUCUCCCAUUGUACAAACGCAUAGAUCUAGUACACACAUAGUAACUUCAAUUGGUAUCAGAGCGGGAAACCGAUCUGAGAUUACUAUCUCUAACAGGUUAGAUCUUGGUUGUGUGGCUAGAUGGGUAAAAAGAAGGUAUAUUUGCUGAAAGUACGAUUGAAUUUCUCUGAAAUUGCUUUUGGGAUUGAAGAAGAAAAGAGAAUUGGAGAUUUUGAGGUCUCAAGAUUAUCUCAGUGGAUGAUGGAGGCAGAAUAAAUAUUGAGUUCACCGGAAAUUGCAGGGCUGUGAACAUGAAUCUUCGUGUUUCUCUUCUCGUCGGGAAAGAUAGAAAAAGAUGGCGAGUAUUUUCAUCAUGGGCCGGUUUUGGGAUUUUUGGCCCAGUAUCUUAUUUAAUUUUGAUAAAGCCCCAGAAAAAGCCUAUUGUGAGAAGAAGAGUUGGAAACGUGUUUUGAGUCUCUAAGCGCAACAAAGGGUCUCGAAGGUUCUUUGUGUGAAGGUUUUGCUAAGUUUGGUGAUUGCACACGUGUGAACCUGGUUGGGAAGAUCAGAUUGUUAUUCAAGAAAUUGACAAUUACUCUUGCCGGAUGUGCCUAAUUUGAAAGUGAAGUCCUGUUUUGAGAUUAAGGAAAAAGCUGUAGAAGUUUCGCUAGCUUCCGUAUAUUCGAUGGUAAAGAGAAGUCACAAGAAAUUUGAGUUGCUGAUCGAAUUAUACCCCGCGUCCAGUUGUUUGUUAUUGGUGAAGAAGAGAGACUUAGAGAGUUUAAAGAAAGAAGCAAGCUUCAAGUUUUUUUUGGAUCGUAAUGAGCUUUAGGCGAGAUCUUGUAGUUACCAGAGAGGGAAGAUGAAAAUAAAAGAGCUUGUGGUGAUGAAUACUCACCGGUUUUUGUACUACGCCGGUGAAAAACGGCUUUUGCCGGAACUGUCUUAUAAGUCGACUUGAGCCUCGAGAUCAGAGAAGGAGAGUAGCGUUUGUGUUUCUUGCCACCAUGAAAGAGAAAAUCUCUGUUGCAUAUUAGUGUUUGGUUCCGUCGUAGAAACUGCUGGCCGACGUAUCCUGAUACUAAGAAAGCCUUGUUAAAGUUAUCGGAGAUGUGAAGAGAUGAGUUUUAUUGGUCUCAUGUUGAUGUUGUUUGAUGGGCUGAUCUGAAACUUGGGUCAGCAUUGAGAUUAGAAGAUGGGUCAAUUCCUUCUUAGUCCACAUGUUCAAUAACACGUGUGAGUCUGGUUGAAGAAAUAAGCUUCAAUGCUUGCAGCGACAACCAUGUCGGUGGUGGAGAUUUCCGUUGGUUUUUCAGGUUACAUCGUCGAAAAUGCAGUAGCAAUGACUGGAGUUACAUCUGGUUCUAGUGUCGCUUGUCAGGAGGAAUGGCCAUGGGAGAUUUGCUGCUAUUGAUCUAAAGUCAAUUUCAGGUUUUUGGAAUCACAUCCUAUGUCACUUUCGGAGAAGAAGUCCCAAGGAGGAGAGGAUGUGAAUGCUUUUCGUCUAAAAGAGUGGUCGCAAACUUCGCAAAGGAUAAAAAUCUAAAAUUGAGAUUCUCAGCUUGACAUAUUUCUCUUGCUUGGUUUGAUGCUGUGAUUUGAGGACUGAUGUCAUGUUUGGAGUUUGUUGGUGACGUUUCUGGAUUUUGAGCCUUCUUGAUGGUUUGGGCUGCUUUAGAAUUGUUGAGGUUCCAGAGUUUUGAAGAAUCAUGGGUUUCUUUUGUUCCUUGAAUUGAAGACUGGUUUGCUUAAUUUUCACAAAGAGAUUAUGAUUUGGUCAAGAAAAUUCAGAAACAUGAUUCAUGACUCUACGAGGGUUAUUGUGGUUGGAAGUCAGCUCAUUGAAAGUGAUACAAUGAGAUAACUAAUUGAUUGGCCAUAUUAUUUGUUUCUGAAGCUACGUUCUUUUGGUGUUGCUUUUAUAGAAGCAUUGGGUUUUAAUGGAUGUGUGUUGAUGUAUGUGUCAUGGCUUUUAUUGAGACACACAAUCAACAAGGGGGAGAAGACUGUUGAAACCAAGAGCAAGAAGCUUCAUGGAAAAAGCAAAGAGGUUAGAGAAAGGGAAGUUUGUUCUUGAUCAUGACGCCAACAAUGGUUCUUGAUCUUCAUAAUAAAGAUGCAUCAAAGAUGGAGCCAAUGGAAUAUGGGUUCUUAAAGAUGUUGCUGGUUCUUGUGGAUAUUCAAAGAAUGAUGAGAAAAAGGUUUCAGGUUUCAGAGAGUUUUAUGUCUCAAGGUUGAUAUUUUCGUCCUUGUUUUCUUUGGCUACCAACAUUGGAUUUCGCUUCUGAAAGAUGUUCUGGAAUGUUGAAAGAGAGAUCUUUCCAACGACAUCAAGACCAUCUUCUGUUUCCUUGUAGUUUGAUGGGAAUUCGUCCUCAAAGUUGGCUGCUCGCAG
Molecule: long non-coding RNA, 3777 nt
Organism: Arabidopsis lyrata subsp. lyrata
Lineage: Eukaryota; Viridiplantae; Streptophyta; Magnoliopsida; Brassicales; Brassicaceae
Exons: 3
Source: RefSeq, a predicted model, not a curated record